ACAGGGAAAUAGCUUACAAGUACCAUCCAGACAUAUACCAAGGAGACAAGGAAAUAGGAAAUAUGUAUUGGCUGACUUUCACGAAAGCGAAAACUUCUCUUAUCGAACUAGUGAAUGCACUUUCAAUACGACCUAAAAACACCACAGCAUGAAUGUAUUCGAUAAAUUCAAUGUAGAGUCAACAUUUUUGCGAUUUUUACUUCAUCGUCUUCAUUUUAAGAUUUUAAAUGUUAUUGCUGACGAGUUUAAAGGCGAUUAAAUCAACGGCGUCUGUAUGUAUUAUUAAGUAUUAAUUUACAUUUUUUUUGUUUUGUUAAAUGCGUUUUAUUGAGGUA
Molecule: long non-coding RNA, 335 nt
Organism: Planococcus citri (citrus mealybug)
Lineage: Eukaryota; Metazoa; Arthropoda; Insecta; Hemiptera; Pseudococcidae
Exons: 3
Source: RefSeq, a predicted model, not a curated record